Molecule: ribosomal RNA, 460 nt
Filed under: uncultured bacterium
Lineage: Bacteria
Description: partial 16S ribosomal RNA
Rfam family: Bacterial small subunit ribosomal RNA
Source: RNAcentral
CCUACGGGAGGCAGCAGUGAGGAAUAUUGGUCAAUGGACGAGAGUCUGAACCAGCCAAGUAGCGUGAAGGAUGACUGCCCUAUGGGUUGUAAACUUCUUUUAUAUGGGAGUAAAAUGUUCCACGUGUGGGAUUUUGUAUGUACCAUAUGAAUAAGGAUAGGCUAACUCCGUGCCAGCAGCCGCGGUAAGACGGAGGUUCCGAGCGUUAUCCGGAUUUAUUGGGUUUAAAGGGAGCGUAGGGGGAUUGUUAAGUCAGUUGGGAAAGUUUGCGGCUCAACCGUAAAAUUGCAGUUGAAACUGGCAGUCUUGAGUACAGUAGAGGUGGUCGGAAUUCGUGGUGUAGCAGUGAAAUGCUUAGAUAUCACGAAGAACUCCGAUUGCGAAGGCAGCUCACUGGACUGCAACUGACACUGAGGCUCGAAAGUGUGGGUAUCAAACAGGAUUAGAUACCCCUGUAGUC